GCGGGGAUAGCUCAGUUGGGAGAGCGUCAGACUGAAGUGAAGACUUUAGUUUCAUUCAAGAACAUCUGAAGAACAUCUGAAGGUCGUGCGUUCGAUCCGCACUCACCGCA
Molecule: non-coding RNA, 110 nt
Organism: Daldinia sp. EC12
Lineage: Eukaryota; Fungi; Ascomycota; Sordariomycetes; Xylariales; Hypoxylaceae
Source: the annotation of a GenBank genome assembly